UACAACAUAUAGGCAAUUUCAUAUUUGAUUAAAGUUGAAGAGUCACCACCUAAUUAUUCUAACGGUGAAUUAGAACACCUAUUUUAGGAAUAUUCACUCUGUAUAUGGUCUACUAAACUUUAGAGAUUCCAAAGUAAGGGUUCAACUAAUCUAAAGAGAAGGUUUUCAAGGCACUCCUUUAAAAUCCGUUUAAAAUAAUUAACCGACCAGACUAAAAUUAAUUAAAACUGAGAGUAAGAAUAAUAAUUAAGGAGACUAAUAAAAGGGGUUGUACGUUUGGCUAAAUAAGUUGUCAUGAAAAGUGAUAAUUUUCGAAAGCAAGAUUUGAAGAAAUUCGAACAACUAUGUUGCUUUUAGGAAGGAAGUUAGUUGAGACUAAAAUGUCUUAUUUUAUGUGAUAAAACAAGUACUUCUAUAAUGAGAUAGAGGAAAGACCCUAAGUGAUUAAGUAAAACUUUACUAAUAAUCCUAUUCUGAGUGUGAAUUUCAACGUAGAAAUCAUAGAAGAGUUAAAUAGAAUAAAUGAUAAAUAAAAUA
RNAcentral lists this long non-coding RNA (537 nucleotides) under Nicotiana benthamiana. Its description in RNAcentral is "long non-coding RNA (NBEN_LNC002360)". Lineage: Eukaryota; Viridiplantae; Streptophyta; Magnoliopsida; Solanales; Solanaceae. The record is from RNAcentral.